UCUACACAGUUAUGUUCAACUGGGCUC
This 27-nucleotide non-coding RNA is filed under the name Homo sapiens (human). Lineage: Eukaryota; Metazoa; Chordata; Mammalia; Primates; Hominidae. The record is from RNAcentral.